UACCGGCGCAUCAGCGGUGUUUCUGAUGCACCUCCCUGUUGGACUCGGCCGGACCCUUGGGUUCGGCCUAUUUU
Molecule: non-coding RNA, 74 nt
Filed under: Jannaschia donghaensis
Lineage: Bacteria; Pseudomonadati; Pseudomonadota; Alphaproteobacteria; Rhodobacterales; Roseobacteraceae
Description: Singlet oxygen resistance RNA X
Rfam family: Singlet oxygen resistance RNA X
About the family: SorX (RSs2461)like SorY is a singlet oxygen induced sRNA that counteracts oxidative stress by targeting mRNA for a transporter in Rhodobacter. It also has an impact on resistance against organic hydroperoxides.
Source: Rfam by way of RNAcentral